Non-coding RNA from Megalopta genalis, 2415 nucleotides. Lineage: Eukaryota; Metazoa; Arthropoda; Insecta; Hymenoptera; Halictidae. The record is from RefSeq and is a predicted model, not a curated record.
UUCUCAAAUCGUCCAUUUCCGUGGUCGUCAAUUAGAGAGACAUUAGGCGUCAGUAAGGGAGACAUUACCGUACACACUUUUCCAGGCAGUCGCGCGAGCUCGUUCGGUCUCGUGGCAACCGACAAGCUUCCCCCACUCCUUCCGCUCCAGUCUCGGUCGACCGAGCGUUCGGUUUCGCGGCAACCGACAGGCUUCCCCCACCCCUUCCGCUCGUGUCUCGGUCGACCGAGCUCGUCCUUAAAAGAAGGUCCGCGCCUCGUUUCCACCGCGUACACUAAGAGAAUACUGUAAACACGGCUAGCCGGAGAACGUCGCGACAGAUUUGUGGUAGGGCUCUGACGAGUUACGACGAUUUUCUUGCAGAUCUGCAACACCUGGGCGGCUUCAAGAUACCGUGCGCGACGCUAUCGCGCGCCCAGGAGCACCAGGAACGGAACGGCGACAGGUUCCUCUGUCCGAGGUGUCCGAGCAGCUUCAACCGGAAGAACAAUCUGUACUCGCACCUGAAGUUCGAGUGCGGCCAGCUGCCUAGGUUCGGCUGCCCUUACUGCAGCUACACGUCGAAGAAGUCGUCGAACAUAAGGGCGCACGUGCGCAGGAAACACUUCGGGUUCAAAGUGAGCGUGACGGACGUGUCGCAAGCCGGCUACGGAUCGUCCGUGGAAGAUCACAGAGACACGAAGAUGACUAGGGCGUUCUAAAUCGCCGACAGCCCGCGACGCCGAUCGAUCGUCGCGUCGCGCCGCGCCGCGCCGCGCGUAUCCGAUCCUUUUGACCGCAGUGUAGAUCGUUCGUAGAUCCUUGGAAACAGUAUUCCGACCUCGUCUUUCACUUUUUGGAUUAGUUCAAUAAAGCGAUCAAGCAAGCCAGUCGUUACGCAAACAAAUUAAGCAACAAAAUUACAUCCUUUUUUUCAUCCUCCGCAACGAAGAUAUCAUCAUCCCCCCCUGCACACAGAUCACGAGGACACACAGAUAGAUCCAUCUGGGGCUCGGCGAACGAUGAUUUUGCGCGGGCAAAACCCCACCUCGCUCGCCCCGCCCCCCUCUCUGCCUCCUCCCCCGCCGAGGCCGGACCGCCUAUAGGAUUCGACAGUCAUGAAGAAGGUUUGACCCGCAAAAAAAAGGUUUACUAGACGCCAGCUUCGAAUUCUUAUAGUCCACACUCUCUCUCUCGCUCUCUCUAUAGCGCGCCCUGUCUGUUUACCGGGACGUAAAACGCUGGGAAUACCGAGACCGUUCCGAACAUGGUUGACGUGUGUUUGAUUAUGUUGCAGGAUUGAAUUACUGCGUCUACGCAGGCGUGUCCUCCCAGAAUUACGUACUGCAUCACGGGACGGCGGCCGUCCCGAUGGUGCUCCCCACAGAUACCACGAGAACGAUCGGCCGGAAGUUCCCUUGCACGAAUUGCACCAGCUCGUUCAGCCGUAAGGGCGGUCUGACCUACCAUCAGAAGUUCGAGUGCGGGCAAGAGCCGCGGUUCAAGUGUCCUUACUGCACCUAUCGGGCGAGCCACAUAUCGAACACGCGCCGGCACGUACGGAAACGUCAUCCCGGAAGAGAGGUGUACACCCUCGAUCUCUGCCAGCUGAUGCAGAACGUUUGAAACCGUGCCGGUGGAACGCCGGACGCGUCACAACCGCGAAGAUCGUCCUCUACGUGCUGGAAGAUUACGACGUCCGGAAGAGUCCCGAUGGGAACGCGCGACGGGACACGGAGGCGUUGCGUUUCCAGCGUCGCCUGUCGUCUAGCGAAGAGUCCUUCGUGGCGCCAGGAAGAACGGCGUUCAAAGGUCUGCCGACGGCGGUCGUGUACGAUCCGCAACAGCACGGACGGAAUGAGUUCGCGACGAGCGAGAGUCGCCUUGAACGCGAUCCGAGGACCAAUAGUGGCCGUAAACAAGCGCCUCCGUUCCCCAGGGAAAUCACAUUCGAUCCUCGUUCUCGUGUAUCGCGAACGAGAUUUACCUCGAAAGAAAAGAAAAGAAAAGAAAAAGAGAAAACGAGAAGAAAAGCAGACGGAAAAGAACGAAGAGAAAUAAAACGAAGAGCGAAAAACAUAAACCGAAGGAAACGAGAAAGUGCAACACCGUUGACGGUCCCUCGAAGAUAUCUCUCUCUCUGUACAGUUUACCGUUAAUCGUUGUUCCUGCGCCAGGCGGAUCGACAGUGUCGCCACCUGGCCGCGUUAAUUCCUAGCAGCAGCAGCAACAGCAGCAGACUUCUCUCCGUGGCUGUCCGAACGUAGACUCGUAGGCGUUACAAAAAAGGUUACAGUUUCCCGACAGUUUCAUCGUCCGACGAUUGUACGAAGAGAGAAAGAAAAGAAACGAAAAGAAAUCCCUCCUGUGUACUUAACGAUCGCUUAACGGCCGGAUCUGCUAAAUAUAACCAUGUUCAAUGAACGCGUCCCUCGA